This 1490-nucleotide long non-coding RNA is filed under the name Capra hircus (goat). Its description in RNAcentral is "lncRNA (ENSCHIG00010016820.1)". The record is from RNAcentral. Lineage: Eukaryota; Metazoa; Chordata; Mammalia; Artiodactyla; Bovidae.
UUUUGCUUGUGGACAAAGAAUGCCACCUACCAUUAUGUUUCAGCCAGAGAGUUUUCAGCCACUGCAGCUCCUCCAACAGAGCACCCUGAGGGGAAUUCAGGAUGGAAAAACAGGAUACUGGCCCUAGAUAGUUAAGAUGUGUAUCAAAGGAAUGGCUUCAAUAAGCCCAGACUGUUAUACCUUUCCAUACAUAGAAAAGUGUCAUAAUCACUAAUUUGAGAUAUCUGGGUUUUGAGAUUAGCAAUAAAUUUUUGAUGUUUGACUUUUUUUUUUUUUUCAUCAAGGUCUCCUGUAUACCCUGACUCCUCCCUUACCUCUUUGAAACAGUUCCUCAGAACUAUUUGAGAAGAUUUCUCCCUGGACUGUAGCUCUCAGUAAGGCCACUAUAUAAAACAUAAUUCGCAACUUUCAGGCUGUGUACAUUUUUUCAGGAAACAGUUUUGGUGACCACGAAAGGAGCCAGAGCUGACUUCUCUCCUUCACCUGAACUCUACAAAGAAGCAGGGCCUUGGUACCAACAGAGUCCCCCUUUACCAGGUACCUGCUGGGAGACUUCAGACUAUGUUGGGUUAGUCUCCCGUGAUUCUCAGAUCCUCAAUUAUAGAUUCAUGAUCCUGACUUUCCUAUGAUGGUUAAUAGCAGGCACUUGGCCCACAGUUGAAAGAUUCUGAGGGAGUCCAGUUGGAAGAUGCUGGGACUUACUUAGUUGAAAGACACUGAGCAGUCUUGGCUGAGUGGUUAAGUAGGAGGCUGACCUGACCUCUUUCCUUAAUUUGGCUGUCUUAAUAUAGGUGGUUGGGAUAAAAGUGAAAACAACACAUGAGCAUUUUGCUCCAAUUAAGAGGAAGGAGAUUCUUCCCAGUUGGUUAGAGUGUUCUCAAGUGACUGAGAGACUGAGGGGCAUGGUGGAGGCAGAGUAUUCAUACCUUACUGUUGUCCCACAGGGAAACCACUUAGUAAUUAAAAGACUUGCUUGUCCCGGGAUGAGGUAGAAGAAUUGGACAUCAGUUAGCUGAGCACCCACAGCAUUUUUAAUUGGCUGGAGGGAGAAUCUGAGACAAUUCAGAGAGCUGCAACGUCUUCAGAGUGACACCUAGUGGAGUUAAGCUCGCAAGGAGCACACUGACCCACCACACAGUUUAAGUUUCAUCCCUAACAAAUACAAUAUGACAGUGGGUUUCUCUGGUGGUUCAAAUGGUAAAGACUCUGCCUGCAAUUUGGGAGACCCAGGUUUGAUCCCUGGGUCAGGGAAAUCACCUGGAGAAGGGAAUUGACUGCCCUCUCCAAUAUUCUUGCCUAGAGAAUCCCAGGGACUGUAGCUUCUCAGUCCAUGGGAUAGCAAAGAGCCAGACACAACUGAGUGACCAACACUUGCCAAAGUUCCACUUCAAUAGUAAACAGAGUCUCUCAAACAGAGGAAAGAGUGGUGUUGGAAAGCCAAACUGUAACGCUCCAGCUUAAUUUGUGUCCAAUAUGCAUGGAGCAUAUGC